AGUAAAGUGCCUGAAUAAAAGGAUUAUCGUGAUAGGAUAAAUCAUGUAAUAUUUUACCUUUACUA
Molecule: transfer RNA, 65 nt
Filed under: Panesthia sp. Salganea
Lineage: Eukaryota; Metazoa; Arthropoda; Insecta; Blattodea; Blaberidae
Also listed under: 1 other name
Description: tRNA-Ile
Source: RNAcentral